UGUGAUGAUGAUUCAUAAGACUAGAGUCUCUGAUAAUAUGAUGAGGCUAUUUCAAAUUACACUGAACA
Cyprinodon variegatus (sheepshead minnow) is the source of this 68-nucleotide small nucleolar RNA. Lineage: Eukaryota; Metazoa; Chordata; Actinopteri; Cyprinodontiformes; Cyprinodontidae. The record is from Ensembl.